AGUGAACGCUGGCGGUAGGCCUAACACAUGCAAGUCGAACGGCAGCACAGUAAGAGCUUGCUCUUACGGGUGGCGAGUGGCGGACGGGUGAGGAAUACAUCGGAAUCUACUUUUUCGUGGGGGAUAACGUAGGGAAACUUACGCUAAUACCGCAUACGACCUACGGGUGAAAGCAGGGGAUCUUCGGACCUUGCGCGAUUGAAUGAGCCGAUGUCGGAUUAGCUAGUUGGCGGGGUAAAGGCCCACCAAGGCGACGAUCCGUAGCUGGUCUGAGAGGAUGAUCACCCACUCUGACACUGAGACCCGGCACACACCCCUGGGGGGGGCAGCGGUGGGAUAUUGUGGACAAGGGGGGAAGCCUUCGCCCCCCCAUCCCGGGUGGGAGAAAGAGCCCGUGGGGUUGAAAACCUCUUUUUUGGGAAAAAAAAAUCGGCAGGUUAAUCCCCCGCUUUUGUGGGGGUCCCAAAAGAAAAACCCCCGGCUCUCUUUG
RNAcentral lists this ribosomal RNA (490 nucleotides) under uncultured bacterium. Its description in RNAcentral is "partial 16S ribosomal RNA". It matches the Rfam family "Bacterial small subunit ribosomal RNA", at positions 29 to 505 of the family's 1533-position model. The record is from RNAcentral.